AUUUAAUAGCUUUUCCCAUUCACACAGCUAUUUUAAAUAGGGUCUUAUUUGUAUCUAUCACCUUGGUAGCCAAGUUUCUAUAUCAAAUCCUGAACAUUUCAUUAUUAUUAAAAAUAUAAAAGUCAUCUACUUCAUCCAUUCUGUAUGGUGUGGUGAGCAAAAUUGGAUGUGAAGUCACAGUGCAGUAAUAGAGUAAUUAUUGUCUGGAGUUUCUUGUAAUAUACUUACAGCCUGUUGUACAGAAGAUGUAUUGUAUUACAGUUGUUUGUGGCCAUUUUGUCAUAUAUAGUGGAUCAAGAAGUAUUCUCUCCUAUCUUGAAGAACAGGGGUCCUCCAUGGAAGAUGUCAUCUGAAGUGCUUUCCAUGUUUUUUCUUUCUUUUUUUCUUUGUUUUUUUCUUUCCCUUCCU
Molecule: long non-coding RNA, 408 nt
Filed under: Gallus gallus (chicken)
Lineage: Eukaryota; Metazoa; Chordata; Aves; Galliformes; Phasianidae
Source: RNAcentral